AAAACAUUGAGAUUUUAAAUCCUUUUUCUUUCUUUCUGCUACUUGAUGCUCUGCAUAUCCUGCCAUAUCAUCAUUUUUCAAACUACUUUGUUUCCUUUGCAAAUCUUUGCAAUUUUUUUUUUUACUUUUUUAUUAUUUAAACACAUGCAAUCAGACUUCAUGACUACUCUUACAGUGCCUUUUAAGCACUAGUCAGCCAUACUAUUCCUCUAAUGGAAUGUGUCGUGCUAAAUUCUGGCUGUUCUUAGAACAGAUAAUGUCAAGACUCUCCGAGGAAGAAGCAAAGGUCCUUUCUACUUUUCCAAGGUUUGUUGUACCAUUGCCUUUAGUCAUCUUUCCUAUUGUCAACUGGUACCCAAGUUAUUUCAUUUUGGUCUCUUUUUCUUCAUCAGAUGAUGGAUAGAUAAAGUUCAUCACUAGUUCUACCUUACUGUGCCUUAUAUACUGCAACAAACCUGAGGUAACAUUGUCCUUUAGCAUCCCAGCCUAUUGUGUUGAUGCUAUGAAGACCAAAACAAUUAUGAUGGGUCUAAGCCAGUUCCUCACAGAAAAAUUCUUCCUUGGUCAUUGCAGUUACUACCAGGCACAUAGCUGUUGCUCUGUUGCUCAUCCUCCUUUUUUAUUAUUUUUUUUAUUUCCUUUUUUUUUUUUUUUUUUUUUUCCCAGGGUGACUAUGCUUAAGGGAGGAGGAUGUGUCCAACUUUCACACAGGAAGCAGAUGUUUGGAUUCUGGGUGCUGCUUCAGUCCAUGUUCAUUUCUUAAACCACAGGAGAGUGUUCCAAAGGCUGAGUGAUAAGCUUGAAUGGAAUGGGAUCCUGCUCCCCUGCUUUCAAAGCAGGACCUUUCAGGAAGAUCCCUGUGACCAGCCGACUGAAGAACUUUCUGGUUGGCAGCAAACUAUGCACAGUGACAUCUGGAUUCUGACACUUCUGAGGGACCAUCUAUCUGCGCCCAAUUCCCAAGUCUUUGCUGUGACUCUUUUGCCCAGCCUAACUUGCAGCCUAUAUUGCCUUGAGCAGACCAGCCCCUUUCCAGAGCACUCCACCUAACCCAGUCACUCCUCUGGGGAAAAAAGACAUAAUUAGGAAACAAAAUGUAGCGCAAACAAACAAAAAUGUAAAGACAAGCUCAUCAAAGGUAGGAUUCAUGGCUCACAAAACAAAUGAAAAGAGAAGUUGAGUUGUGAUGUCUUUCACUUGUAAUACCCAACAGUUGUGGUUCAUCAUUUACCUCAAAUAUGGGAGAUCUAUAUACUUGCUCUUCCACCGAACUAUGAAAAAAAAAUGGUUUCUUAUCUUUCAGGUAAAUCUAUUUUCCAUUUAUUUUAUUGUAUCCCACAAUCCUUAGGAUUUUGUUACCUCAAAGUUUCUGGAUUUAUCAUUUAUGUCAAAACUGUUCCAAAGAUUCAUGUUCAGUGAUGGAUUGAAGUGUUCACGGAUCAGGUCAUAACUAUUUUUUCUCUUUUACUCUCUCUGUUCUAAGGUGAAAAUGGGAAAAUUUACUGUGAUAAUCUCUGUUUUGUGGCUGAUGGUAAAAAAUGCUGGAAAUCAGACACUGAGGGUGAAGAAAUCCAGUUCUGGGUGCCAGCAUGCCUCAGCUGAAAAGCUUCCUUCCAGAUGUUGGGUGAUUCAUCAAAGAUCAAAGAGCAGAAAUUAAAUUAUUA
Molecule: long non-coding RNA, 1664 nt
Filed under: Anas platyrhynchos platyrhynchos (common mallard)
Lineage: Eukaryota; Metazoa; Chordata; Aves; Anseriformes; Anatidae
Description: lncRNA (ENSAPLG00000023354.1)
Source: RNAcentral